AGAAGGAAGAGUAUCUUCGAAGAUUAAACUUUCGAUACCCACUCGUCGUUUUCAGUCGACUCGUGAGCGUCGUUCCGAACGUGCACCUGUUUCGAUUAUCUCGUUUACAUUAAAGCUUAUUUUCAUUCUCUCGCGUGACACUUUGAAAAAUCUGAUUUGUCGUUUGCCGAUCGAACUGGAAGAAAGGAAGAAACAUUUGCAAAUAUCAUCGACGGGAUUAACGUUAGAAUCAAUUGGAGUGAAUCAAAUCUGAGAUUAUUGAAGGAAAAUACACGGAGGAAAAAACGAGAAGGUCGAAGUUUAUAUUACCAAUUGAAGGAAGAAUAAUCAAAAAUGCAUAUCAGGAUAACAUUGUCACUUCUGGUGCUGUUUUGUGUUCUACUAAGACCGACAGUCAGUAUAAGUCGUCUUCUCGAUCCAAAUUUUAUCUACUUUCCUGAUCAAGCGGAAUACAUCUACAAAGCUGACAAAUGUCCGGAUAAUAUGAUCCUCUGGCCCGGAACCGGUAAAUGUUACAAAGAAGGUGAAAGAGGACCCUGCGAUGUCGGCCGAGUUAUAUUACUCGACAAACGAUUACUCAAACCCUACUGCAAGGAUAUUUUAUAGAAGAAAAUAUUCCUACAAGAAAUUGCAGCACUGGAGGAAAACCCCAAUUAUCGAUUGCUAGUCAGAAAAUUGUCUACGAAAAGUCCCUAGAUGACAAUACUAUUUCUGACAAAAAUCGUUUCCCCACGUAAACUUUUAAACGAGUUUCUCUUCGUAGAGUGACACCACUAAUAUUAAUUCUUCGAUAGCUCUCUUUUAACUUAAAAAUGUGCCAUUUUGUUAUUUAUUUAUUUCUUUUAUUUAAGUGAAUCAAUGAUAAAUUAUUCCAGAUACGAUGUAAAGUAAACCCAUUUAUUAUUUAUUUUUAAUGGAUCUGGUUGUAAUUACGAAUUGAUUUUACACAGUUCUUCGUUGAUUUUUUUUCAUUACAAAUGGAUUGAUCGAAGAUUCAAUCGUAUGAAAAGAAAAUGUAAUUGCAUUUGAAAAAAUCAGUGAUGUUUGUAAUAAAUUAGGAAGGAUAGCGUAGUUUUAGUAUUAAUCAUCUCAUUAUGAAAACUUGAA
RNAcentral lists this long non-coding RNA (1107 nucleotides) under Polistes fuscatus (common paper wasp). RNAcentral's name for it is "uncharacterized LOC122518898". Lineage: Eukaryota; Metazoa; Arthropoda; Insecta; Hymenoptera; Vespidae. The record is from RNAcentral.